ACCAAUGGCCUCCCAGGGCCCACAGCAGCCAAUCAGAGUGCGCCGAGCGGCUAGGCUCGCCAGCCAGCCAGUGUGUCGAGGGAGCAGAGACCAGCGGACAUGGCGAGGCUACGGUCUGUGUUGUUUGCCGCGCUGCUCUUCGUCGCUUCGUGCCUCCUCUUCUCAGCAGCCGGCGCUGGUGCAGUGAGGAUAAAGCGCGGGACCUGCGACAACAGCAUCGACACGAUGAACAGGCUGGCGUGCAACGCCUACUGCGUGGCCCAGCUCAACGGCUACUCUGGGGGCAAGUGCUUCCUCGGCACCUGCAUCUGCUACAAGUAGACAUCAGCUCCCUCUGUGGACCAACAAACAAGUGUCGUUAUCAUAUGCCCAUGCGUUGUAAUGUUGCUUUCUUACUGUAUUUGUAGCCAUCAGUCCCAAGACUGGGGUGAUGCUGUAGUGGCAGAUACACAGUGUAUAGUUUGCAAAUUAGUAACAAAUAAAUAACAACAAAUACUUAGAACAAAA
This is a long non-coding RNA of Schistocerca gregaria, 507 nucleotides long. RefSeq lists it as uncharacterized. The record is from RefSeq and is a predicted model, not a curated record. Lineage: Eukaryota; Metazoa; Arthropoda; Insecta; Orthoptera; Acrididae. The transcript is spliced from 2 exons.